Molecule: long non-coding RNA, 697 nt
Filed under: Ananas comosus (pineapple)
Lineage: Eukaryota; Viridiplantae; Streptophyta; Magnoliopsida; Poales; Bromeliaceae
Description: long non-coding RNA (ACOM_LNC030924)
Source: RNAcentral
UAUAUAUAUAUAUAUAUAUAUAUAUAUAUAUGUGUGCUACUAUACUAUCGAUAGUAUCAAGUGCUUGGUGCUAUCGAGUUUUCGGCUAUUGAAUAAAAGGACGAUGAGUUAGGAUGAUAGUAGUCUCCUAGAAUUGAGUAGGUGGUUGGUUGAAUAGUAUAAUCUAACAGGUAGAAAUAAUCAAAUGAUAGAUUUAACGGGAGAAAAUUCGAUAAUACCAAGAGCUUGGUACUAGUGAUGGACUCUAUAUAUAUAUAUAUACAAGCUUAGCAUAAAACAUUGUAGCCAUGUGGGCCCAGAGAAAUCAUGGAGAGAUCCAUCUCUUAGAUUUCAAGCAAGACAUAUCACACCAAAAUAUUUCAUUUUGAAUAAUAAUUUUUUAAUUAAUGUGCAUAUGGGAUUACCUUGUAUUUAAAUUGUGUAUAAAACAGUAGAGAUGCAAUUAGAAGAAUCAUAUAUUAUAGCAAAAAUCUACCAAGUAACUAUCAGAUCGUUGGCGCCAACCAUUAAUCCUAAAAGCUCGAGCUGUUCGAAAGAUAUAAUUAAUUUACUUAAAGCGUACAAACACAUUGCCCACAGGUCUCGACUGUGAUUUGGCUUAACCCGACCUCCUGUUAUUUCGAAUGUGACUCGACCUAAUCUGAUUUUCUGUCACAUGACGAGAUGCCAACCCCUUUAAUUUUUUUUUUUUUUUUUU